CGACGAAUCAUUCAAGCUUCUGCCCUAUCAGCUUUGGAUGGUAGGGUAUUGGCCUACCAUGGCUUUGACGGGUAACGGAGAAUUGGGGUUCGAUUCCGGAGAGGGAGCCUGAGAGAUGGCUACCACAUCCAAGGAAGGCAGCAGGCGCGUAAAUUACCCAAUCCGGACACAGGGAGGUAGUGACAAUAAAUAACAAUGCCGGACUUUCAGUCUGGCAAUUGGAAUGAGAACAAUUUAAAUCCCUUAUCGAGGAUCAAUUGGAGGGCAAGUCUGGUGCCAGCAGCCGCGGUAAUUCCAGCUCCAAUAGCGUAUACUAAAGUUGUUGCAGUUAAAAAGCUCGUAGUUGGAUUUCUGGUGGGGACAGCUGGUCGGGCUGGGAACAGCCUGCACUUGUGCUGGUCUUCAUCAUCCUUGGGGAGAGCAGGCGUGGCAUUAAGUUGUCGGGUCUGGGAUCCUCAUCGUUUACUGUGAAAAAAUUGGAGUGUUCAAAGCAGGCUUAGGCCCUGAAUACAUUAGCAUGG
Molecule: ribosomal RNA, 521 nt
Filed under: uncultured Eustigmatophyceae
Lineage: Eukaryota; Eustigmatophyceae
Description: SSU rRNA
Rfam family: Eukaryotic small subunit ribosomal RNA
Source: RNAcentral